AUGAAUACUGGAAAGAAAUCUUACACAUGGAGCUCUAACAACAUCUUCAUUUCACAGAGAGUGAAAUCUCAGGGAGAAAGUACCAGCUGGACUGAGUGUGCUAAAACCAGAGCCACAGUCUAUCUUAAAAGCCGGUCCCCUCGUAUCAGAUCUCAGCAGCAGCUGCAGCAACAUGCACUCCAUCGAUGCAGGAGCAGAACCGAAGUAUGAAACUGAAGUAUGAAAGCUGUGGCAGAGCUGAGCACUGGAAAACAGAUUAGGCCAUCACAUAUGCGGAACAGGAAGACGAUAUGGUGAAACAAGAGCGAAGAAACAGGGAGAGCAGGAGGGAUGGUACCUGCCUGUCCAUCUUUCCAGGUACCGACAUGGGGCAUUUGAAGCUUCAAACCAGAGCUCAUUCCAUUCCUGGCUGCUCUAACAUGCCCCAGGAUCAACAGUCAUGCCUAAAUUGUGGCAAGACACAUAGAAAGUCCCCGGCAAUGGGAAGAGCACGGGCAGGGGCUCUUCUCUUGAAGCAGGCUGCUGAGGAGGAUUUUCAGACUUUGCAAAGAAGGCCAGAGACACUUAGAUCUAAAUUGAGAGACAGAGCAGCACAGGUCAAAGAUCCUUUAGAAGAGCAUCUGGAACAGGGGCAUGAUCCCAUCCCUCAGAGAGCUCAAGGCCAGGCUU
This 669-nucleotide long non-coding RNA is filed under the name Columba livia (rock pigeon). RNAcentral describes it as "partial uncharacterized LOC102095240, transcript variant X2". The record is from RNAcentral. Lineage: Eukaryota; Metazoa; Chordata; Aves; Columbiformes; Columbidae.